AGAUGCGAGAGUAGAGCAUAUCAAUAAGCGGAGGAAAAGAAACUAACAAGGAUUCCCUUAGUAACGGCGAGUGAAGCGGGAAGAGCUCAAAUUUGAAAUCUUAAAGGGUUUUCCCUUGACGAAUUGUAGUUUAAAGAAGUGUUUUCUGUUGAAGUUUUCGGUAAAAGUUCUUUGGAAUAGGACAUCAUAGAGGGUGAGAAUCCCGUAUUUGACCAGUUAUUUUCCAGCUGUGUGAUACACUUUCAAGGAGUCGGAUUGUUUGGGAAUGCAGUCCAAAAUGGGUGGUAAAUUUCAUCUAAAGCUAAAUAUUGGCGAGAGACCGAUAGCGAACAAGUACCGUGAGGGAAAGAUGAAAAGAACUUUGAAAAGAGAGUUAAACAGUACGUGAAAUUGUCAAAAGGGAAGCGUUUGACACCAGUGUUGUUUUCUCGAAAAUCAAUUAAAAAUAACUGGAUUUUGUGUUGUAUUGACUUUAUCAAGCUUUCUGCACUUUUUUCUUAUCUUUUUUAAUGCACUUUUCGUUUAACAAGUCAACAUCAAUUUCUUUUGUUGUAAAAGAGUCAUUGGAAGGUGGCUUUUUCUUCAGAAAAAGUGUUUAUAGCCUUUGGCUUCUGCAAUCGGAGAGAUUGAGGUCUGCAGCGUAGAUCCUUCGGGGUUAGAUACAUUUGUGCUAAGCUAUAGUUCUUUAUAGACAACUUGUUGACUAUAAUCAAUCCUGUAACUUACUCGCUUAUGCUAUUUUACCUACGCUUAGGAUGUUGACACACGCGCGUGCUCG
RNAcentral lists this ribosomal RNA (778 nucleotides) under uncultured Neocallimastigales. Its description in RNAcentral is "partial large subunit ribosomal RNA". The stretch from base 2 to 697 matches the Rfam family "Eukaryotic large subunit ribosomal RNA", at positions 24 to 664 of the family's 3401-position model. The record is from RNAcentral. Lineage: Eukaryota; Fungi; Neocallimastigomycota; Neocallimastigomycetes; Neocallimastigales.